CAGCAGAGUGAAUAGCAUAACCUAGAACUUCAUAUGUUUUUAAUAAAGUUAUGUACAAAAUGGCUCCUUUGUACAUAAAUCUUCUUGGCAUCGUAAAAAUUUUUACAAAAUGUUCAUAUAAACUUUUAUUGACUUGAGAAAAUAUAGAAAGGACAGAGAUGGGACGAUAAUUACUGAUAUUGGAUCUGUCGCCUUCUUUAUGGAUAGGGGUAACCCUGGCAAGUUUUAAACUUUCAGGAAAAUACCUUAAUGGAUAGAUGCUCUGAAAAUUUUAAAAAAAUAUAUUAUUUAAUUGUUCGUGGCGAUCCAAUUUCAGUGAAAUAUUUAUUGAAUUCAUGAGCUAUUAUUUGUGCUUCGUACAAGCUAUUGUUAUCGACUUUAAGCAUUUGCGGCAAAGAGCAUGAGCAUGUUUUUUGUUUUCCAGUAAUUUUUUUCAAUACUUCCCAAGUGCUUUUUGAGU
Hydra vulgaris (swiftwater hydra) is the source of this 460-nucleotide long non-coding RNA. RefSeq lists it as uncharacterized. The record is from RefSeq and is a predicted model, not a curated record. NCBI's taxonomy places the organism in Eukaryota, Metazoa, Cnidaria, Hydrozoa, Anthoathecata, Hydridae.